RNAcentral lists this ribosomal RNA (422 nucleotides) under Lepisiota sp. JL14. RNAcentral describes it as "LSU rRNA". The record is from RNAcentral. Lineage: Eukaryota; Metazoa; Arthropoda; Insecta; Hymenoptera; Formicidae.
AAUUCAUGGUCACGGCGCUGGCUUCGCGUCGGUGGCGAUGUCCCGCGNAGUCCUCGCGGCUCGCGCGCGGGCACGCUUCCGUGCGUCGAUGUCCGGCGCUCGUCGUCGUGCACUUCUCCCCAAGUAGAACGUCGCGACCCGCUGGGUGUCGGUCUACGGCCCGAGUGCGGUGACUGUCGCGUCGCCGGUAAAACGGCACGCGACAAACCCUCGGUCGCCCGGCCGGCUGCUCGGCGGUACGCGCAAGGUAUCAGGCCGCACUUUGGUGUGCGUCGAGACCGUCGCAAGCGCGCGCCACGGUACUCGGAGGUACGGACUUUGCGCCGUCCCCGGUCCUGGCCCGCUGUUGGUUAAAGUACGGUUCGCCUUCGACAGGCCUGCGAACGUCUUCCUCUCGGGGAAGACCGAUACCGGUCAGCGAC